This 62-nucleotide transfer RNA is filed under the name Cyphonia clavata. Its description in RNAcentral is "tRNA-Phe". Lineage: Eukaryota; Metazoa; Arthropoda; Insecta; Hemiptera; Membracidae. The record is from RNAcentral.
GUAAAUGUAGCUUAUAUAGAGUUUUAUAUUGAAGAUAUAAGGGAAAUUUUUAUUUUUUUACA